AAAUUGAAGAGUUUGAUCAUGGCUCAGAUUGAACGCUGGCGGCAGGCCUAACACAUGCAAGUCGAACGGUAACAGGAAACAGCUUGCUGUUUCGCUGACGAGUGGCGGACGGGUGAGUAAUGUCUGGGAAACUGCCUGAUGGAGGGGGAUAACUACUGGAAACGGUAGCUAAUACCGCAUAACGUCGUAAGACCAAAGAGGGGGACCUUCGGGCCUCUUGCCAUCGGAUGUGCCCAGAUGGGAUUAGCUUGUUGGUGGGGUAACGGCUCACC
This 272-nucleotide ribosomal RNA is filed under the name Escherichia coli. Its description in RNAcentral is "partial 16S ribosomal RNA". It matches the Rfam family "Bacterial small subunit ribosomal RNA", at positions 1 to 269 of the family's 1533-position model. The record is from RNAcentral. Lineage: Bacteria; Pseudomonadati; Pseudomonadota; Gammaproteobacteria; Enterobacterales; Enterobacteriaceae.